UUGACCUCAAAUCAGGUAGGACUACCCGCUGAACUUAAGCAUAUCAAUAAGCGGAGGAAAAGAAACUAACAAGGAUUCCCCUAGUAACUGCGAGUGAAGCGGGAAAAGCUCAAAUUUAAAAUCUGACGGUCUUUAUGGCCUUCCGAGUUGUAAUCUAGAGAAGUGCUAUCCGCGCUGGACCGUGUACAAGUCUCCUGGAACGGAGCGUCAUAGAGGGUGAGAAUCCCGUCUUUGCCACGGACUACCAGGGCUUAUGUGAUGCGCUCUCAAAGAGUCGAGUUGUUUGGGAAUGCAGCUCUAAAUGGGUGGUAAAUUCCAUCUAAAGCUAAAUAUUGGCGAGAGACCGAUAGCGAACAAGUACCGUGAGGGAAAGAUGAAAAGAACUUUGGAAAGAGAGUUAAACAGUACGUGAAAUUGUUGAAAGGGAAACGCUUGAAGUCAGUCGCGUUGACCAGGAAUCAGCCUUGCUUUUGCUUGGCGCACUUUCUGGUUAAUGGGUCAGCAUCAAUUUUGGUCGGUGGAUAAAGGUCAGGAGAAGGUGGCAUCUUCGGAUGUGUUUAUAGCUCUUGGUUGCAUACAUCGAUUGGGAUUGAGGAACUCAGCACGCCGCAAGGCCGGGUGUUUACACCACGUUACGUGCUUAGGAUGUUGGCAUAAUGGCUUUAAUCGA
This 670-nucleotide ribosomal RNA is filed under the name Tricholoma magnivelare. RNAcentral's name for it is "eukaryotic LSU rRNA". It matches the Rfam family "Eukaryotic large subunit ribosomal RNA", at positions 1 to 647 of the family's 3401-position model. Lineage: Eukaryota; Fungi; Basidiomycota; Agaricomycetes; Agaricales; Tricholomataceae. The record is from RNAcentral.